RNAcentral lists this long non-coding RNA (1529 nucleotides) under Phoenix dactylifera (date palm). Its description in RNAcentral is "long non-coding RNA (PDAC_LNC014460)". Lineage: Eukaryota; Viridiplantae; Streptophyta; Magnoliopsida; Arecales; Arecaceae. The record is from RNAcentral.
UUAAUUGUAUUUUAAUUUAUUCUUGGAUUAACAUGCAAAUUGGCUACAAGCCUAAUAAGCAUUCGAAUAAAAUUUUACAAAAGUAAUAUAGGCAUAAUCCAUCUUUAGUUAGCAUGAAAUGUCUACCCUAAUAUAAGGUGGCAGCACAUCACAUCUUCCUUAAGAAUGAAAUAUCUUAUUUUUACUUCAAUGAUCACGAAGAGCAGUUGUAUAAACUUCAUAUUUAAAAUCACAUAAAUUAAACAUGAAAUAAAAGAAAAUAUUCAUUGAAAACAAUAAGUUCAUACAACUCCAAGAAUAUAAAAUUAAAAUAUAAAACCCUUGGCCCUUUGUUAGGGCUACAUCCAGCCCUAGUGAGUAGAUCUGUCUUCCAUGGAGUCGUGGGCGACAGCAGCAACGAUGUAGAAGGCCUUCAUCACGAUUGGGUUCUCCCUCUUUUCUCCCAUUGGCUUCCUCUCCCUCUUGAAUUUCAUUAUUUUUUUUCUUUAGGAAAUCAUUCCCAAAAUACCCAAAGUCUCCUCUCCCUUGGUUCUUGGGUGGGAACUCCUCAGAAGGGAUGACGAACCGAACCCCCAAGCUUCAUGAAUCAACCCCGGCUCCCUCUGGUGGGGAAGAAGAAUGGUGAAGCGUGAGAGGAUGAAGGUGAUGAUAAUGCUAUGGUCCCCCGGUGGGGAAGAAGAAUGAAUCCCAAAGAAAACCCUCCUGCUUUUUUAGCAUCUCAACCCCCCCUAUUUCGUGUGAAGGAUAAGCUUGAAUGUGGGAUAAGGAUGGAAACGGCUGGGUGGAGUUGAGAUUUGUUGGCCGCAGGAGAUCCGGACAUGGGAGAAGUUGGAAGGAACUCACGGACGCUGGGAUGAACUGGAAGGGAGUGAUUUGUGAAGCUCUGUUCCUUGAUCCUUGGACACGCUGCAGGAUGGAGUUGAUCUGGCUGCGUGGAGGAGUCUGGAUGGGAAGCUGAAUUCCUGGGAUCUUUGUGGAUGAAUUCUUGUUCUGCUGGGGAGAAUCCGGAAGAAAGCGGUGCUGGAUUCGGCUGGAAAAUAAGCUUGAUCGCGCAUAGAAGAUUGCUGCUUCAUCUCUUCCGGAUCAACUCGAAACAGGGGAUGGAGCGGGAAUGCUGGGAACGGCUUGGGAGAUGUCUGUGAAAGGAGGGAAUGGUUGGAUCAAAGGGAUAAGCUUGGAUGACUUCGUCCGGCCGUGGAUGAUGCAGUUGGGAUCUCUGUUCUUCCGUGGCGGAUGCAGAGAUUUGAAGUUUUGAAUUUGUGGAUACGGUUGAUAACAAGGAGAUGAAGCUCGAUCGCAGAUGGUUGAGGAUGAAGCCGAAUCACGGAUAAGGAACGAGAACAACAUGGGAAAUCAGCGGACGAUGGAGCUGGAUGCUUGAUUUUUGGAAAGAUGACUCUGAGAUGCAGGGGAUUUGGAAGAAGCUGGGAGCUUCAAGCUUAUCCAUGGGCGAUGGAAUGGAUGUGGAUGAAGCUCACGGGCGUGAGGGAUAAUGUGAAUGGCUGGGACAUUGGGAGAUUAAGCCGGAA